This 869-nucleotide ribosomal RNA is filed under the name Clostridioides difficile. Its description in RNAcentral is "partial 23S ribosomal RNA". It matches the Rfam family "Bacterial large subunit ribosomal RNA", at positions 1836 to 2703 of the family's 2925-position model. Lineage: Bacteria; Bacillati; Bacillota; Clostridia; Peptostreptococcales; Peptostreptococcaceae. The record is from RNAcentral.
AGACGAUGUAUAGGAGCUGACGCCUGCCCGGUGCUGGAAGGUUAAGGGGAUCUGUUAGAGCAAUCGAAGCAGUGAACUUAAGCCCCAGUAAACGGCGGCCGUAACUAUAACGGUCCUAAGGUAGCGAAAUUCCUUGUCGGGUAAGUUCCGACCCGCACGAAAGGCGUAACGAUUUGGGCACUGUCUCAACAACAGACUCGGUGAAAUUGUAAUUCCGGUGAAGAUGCCGGAUACCUGCGACAGGACGGAAAGACCCCAUGGAGCUUUACUGUAGCUUGACAUUGGGUCUUGGUACUACAUGUACAGGAUAGGUGGGAGGCUUUGAAACCAGGACGCCAGUUUUGGCGGAGCCAUCCUUGGGAUACCACCCUUGUAGUACUGGGACUCUAACCAUAGGCCAUGAAUCUGGUCUUGGGACACUGUCAGGUGGGCAGUUUGACUGGGGCGGUCGCCUCCCAAAAGGUAACGGAGGCGCUCAAAGGUUCUCUCAGUACGGUCGGAAAUCGUACGUAGAGUGUAAAGGCAAAAGAGAGCUUGAUUGCAAGACAUACAGGUCGAGCAAGGAUGAAAAUCGGACUUAGUGAUCCGGUGGUUCUGCGUGGAAGGGCCAUCGCUCAACGGAUAAAAGCUACCCUGGGGAUAACAGGCUUAUCUCCCCCAAGAGUCCACAUCGACGGGGAGGUUUGGCACCUCGAUGUCGGCUCAUCACAUCCUGGGGCUGUAGUAGGUCCCAAGGGUUGGGCUGUUCGCCCAUUAAAGUGGUACGCGAGCUGGGUUCAGAACGUCGUGAGACAGUUCGGUCCCUAUCCGUCGCAGGCGUAGGAAAUUUGAGAAGACCUGUCCUUAGUACGAGAGGACCGGGAUGGACG